AGAAGAAGAAGAAGAAAUGGGAUGACAAAAUACUAUUAGUAGUAAUAGUACUGGCAGCAGCAGCAAUAAAUAACUUGGAGUGUUAGUGGUAGUGGCUGUUGAAAUUUAGAAUAAUAUAAAAGAUGGGAGAAAAUAACAAAACAAGUAUAUACGUCGUUCAGCUACCAAAAGCCUAUAUCCACGGACACAAAACCUUAAAGGCUGCGGUCUUGUUUGUUUGAUGGUAAGUUAGCUAAGGAACUUCAAGUUCCCAGGAAGCGUCAAAAUGAAGCUUGUUUGGUUAGCCAUUUUUAUAAAGUUUGCAGAAAGUGAAGCACCUCACUUCCUAACCAUGCAGGAAUUUAAGUUCCUGAGCCCAACCUAGUUAAGUAAGUUCCUGAGCCCAACCUAGUUAAGUAAGUUCCCUCGCUCUUGCCCUUGCUUUAUGAGAUUUGGUUAGCCAUGUUUACCCUUACUCUAGCAUUAUAUCAAUUAAGUAGAGUAGGGAUAUUCAUAAACACAAUUUUACUUCUUGGGAAUUUAGCAUACCAACCAAACAUAUUUAAACCACACUUCUUGGAAAGUAACUUCCCUGAAAGUGUACUUCUCGAGAAGUUCACUUGCUAGGAAAUAGACCAUUUUGAACCAAA
This 629-nucleotide unclassified non-coding RNA is filed under the name Hevea brasiliensis (rubber tree). Lineage: Eukaryota; Viridiplantae; Streptophyta; Magnoliopsida; Malpighiales; Euphorbiaceae. The record is from RNAcentral.